RNAcentral lists this ribosomal RNA (2901 nucleotides) under Escherichia coli. RNAcentral describes it as "bacterial LSU rRNA". It matches the Rfam family "Bacterial large subunit ribosomal RNA". Lineage: Bacteria; Pseudomonadati; Pseudomonadota; Gammaproteobacteria; Enterobacterales; Enterobacteriaceae. The record is from RNAcentral.
UUAAGCGACUAAGCGUACACGGUGGAUGCCCUGGCAGUCAGAGGCGAUGAAGGACGUGCUAAUCUGCGAUAAGCGUCGGUGAGGUGAUAUGAACCGUUAUAACCGGCGAUUUCCGAAUGGGGAAACCCAGUGUGUUUCGACACACUAUCAUUAACUGAAUCCAUAGGUUAAUGAGGCGAACCGGGGGAACUGAAACAUCUAAGUACCCCGAGGAAAAGAAAUCAACCGAGAUUCCCCCAGUAGCGGCGAGCGAACGGGGAGGAGCCCAGAGCCUGAAUCAGUGUGUGUGUUAGUGGAAGCGUCUGGAAAGGCGCGCGAUACAGGGUGACAGCCCCGUACACAAAAAUGCACAUAUUGUGAGCUCGAUGAGUAGGGCGGGACACGUGGUAUCCUGUCUGAAUAUGGGGGGACCAUCCUCCAAGGCUAAAUACUCCUGACUGACCGAUAGUGAACCAGUACCGUGAGGGAAAGGCGAAAAGAACCCCGGCGAGGGGAGUGAAAAAGAACCUGAAACCGUGUACGUACAAGCAGUGGGAGCCUCUUUAUGGGGUGACUGCGUACCUUUUGUAUAAUGGGUCAGCGACUUAUAUUCUGUAGCAAGGUUAACCGAAUAGGGGAGCCGAAGGGAAACCGAGUCUUAACUGGGCGUUAAGUUGCAGGGUAUAGACCCGAAACCCGGUGAUCUAGCCAUGGGCAGGUUGAAGGUUGGGUAACACUAACUGGAGGACCGAACCGACUAAUGUUGAAAAAUUAGCGGAUGACUUGUGGCUGGGGGUGAAAGGCCAAUCAAACCGGGAGAUAGCUGGUUCUCCCCGAAAGCUAUUUAGGUAGCGCCUCGUGAAUUCAUCUCCGGGGGUAGAGCACUGUUUCGGCAAGGGGGUCAUCCCGACUUACCAACCCGAUGCAAACUGCGAAUACCGGAGAAUGUUAUCACGGGAGACACACGGCGGGUGCUAACGUCCGUCGUGAAGAGGGAAACAACCCAGACCGCCAGCUAAGGUCCCAAAGUCAUGGUUAAGUGGGAAACGAUGUGGGAAGGCCCAGACAGCCAGGAUGUUGGCUUAGAAGCAGCCAUCAUUUAAAGAAAGCGUAAUAGCUCACUGGUCGAGUCGGCCUGCGCGGAAGAUGUAACGGGGCUAAACCAUGCACCGAAGCUGCGGCAGCGACACUAUGUGUUGUUGGGUAGGGGAGCGUUCUGUAAGCCUGUGAAGGUGGCCUGUGAGGGUUGCUGGAGGUAUCAGAAGUGCGAAUGCUGACAUAAGUAACGAUAAAGCGGGUGAAAAGCCCGCUCGCCGGAAGACCAAGGGUUCCUGUCCAACGUUAAUCGGGGCAGGGUGAGUCGACCCCUAAGGCGAGGCCGAAAGGCGUAGUCGAUGGGAAACAGGUUAAUAUUCCUGUACUUGGUGUUACUGCGAAGGGGGGACGGAGAAGGCUAUGUUGGCCGGGCGACGGUUGUCCCGGUUUAAGCGUGUAGGCUGGUUUUCCAGGCAAAUCCGGAAAACCAAGGCUGAGGCGUGAUGACGAGGCACUACGGUGCUGAAGCGACAAAUGCCCUGCUUCCAGGAAAAGCCUCUAAGCAUCAGGUAACAUCAAAUCGUACCCCAAACCGACACAGGUGGUCAGGUAGAGAAUACCAAGGCGCUUGAGAGAACUCGGGUGAAGGAACUAGGCAAAAUGGUGCCGUAACUUCGGGAGAAGGCACGCUGAUAUGUAGGUGAAGCGACUUGCUCGUGGAGCUGAAAUCAGUCGAAGAUACCAGCUGGCUGCAACUGUUUAUUAAAAACACAGCACUGUGCAAACACGAAAGUGGACGUAUACGGUGUGACGCCUGCCCGGUGCCGGAAGGUUAAUUGAUGGGGUUAGCGGUAACGCGAAGCUCUUGAUCGAAGCCCCGGUAAACGGCGGCCGUAACUAUAACGGUCCUAAGGUAGCGAAAUUCCUUGUCGGGUAAGUUCCGACCUGCACGAAUGGCGUAAUGAUGGCCAGGCUGUCUCCACCCGAGACUCAGUGAAAUUGAACUCGCUGUGAAGAUGCAGUGUACCCGCGGCAAGACGGAAAGACCCCGUGAACCUUUACUAUAGCUUGACACUGAACAUUGAGCCUUGAUGUGUAGGAUAGGUGGGAGGCUUUGAAGUGUGGACGCCAGUCUGCAUGGAGCCGACCUUGAAAUACCACCCUUUAAUGUUUGAUGUUCUAACGUUGGCCCGUAAUCCGGGUUGCGGACAGUGUCUGGUGGGUAGUUUGACUGGGGCGGUCUCCUCCUAAAGAGUAACGGAGGAGCACGAAGGUUGGCUAAUCCUGGUCGGACAUCAGGAGGUUAGUGCAAUGGCAUAAGCCAGCUUGACUGCGAGCGUGACGGCGCGAGCAGGUGCGAAAGCAGGUCAUAGUGAUCCGGUGGUUCUGAAUGGAAGGGCCAUCGCUCAACGGAUAAAAGGUACUCCGGGGAUAACAGGCUGAUACCGCCCAAGAGUUCAUAUCGACGGCGGUGUUUGGCACCUCGAUGUCGGCUCAUCACAUCCUGGGGCUGAAGUAGGUCCCAAGGGUAUGGCUGUUCGCCAUUUAAAGUGGUACGCGAGCUGGGUUUAGAACGUCGUGAGACAGUUCGGUCCCUAUCUGCCGUGGGCGCUGGAGAACUGAGGGGGGCUGCUCCUAGUACGAGAGGACCGGAGUGGACGCAUCACUGGUGUUCGGGUUGUCAUGCCAAUGGCACUGCCCGGUAGCUAAAUGCGGAAGAGAUAAGUGCUGAAAGCAUCUAAGCACGAAACUUGCCCCGAGAUGAGUUCUCCCUGAGACUUAGAGUCUCCUGAAGGAACGUUGAAGACGACGACGUUGAUAGGCCGGGUGUGUAAGCGCAGCGAUGCGUUGAGCUAACCGGUACUAAUGAACCGUGAGGCUUAACCU